RNAcentral lists this long non-coding RNA (227 nucleotides) under Elaeis guineensis (African oil palm). RNAcentral describes it as "long non-coding RNA (EGUI_LNC032611)". Lineage: Eukaryota; Viridiplantae; Streptophyta; Magnoliopsida; Arecales; Arecaceae. The record is from RNAcentral.
AAAGUCCUAUCUCCCCUUCCUUAUUCAUUAUAGAAUGACUAAGACUGCAAUCAACUACCAUGAUUUGCUGGGGUUGCUGUAGACUUUUGAGAAGGAUCAUUAGCUCCACAAGGAGCUGGUAAAUGUAGUGGAAGAAUCUUCUUCGGUGGGACGUUGUCCCUUUAAGAAAAAAAAGAAGAAGAAUAAAAAUAAGAAGGUGCAGCAUGUUGGGGCGUCUAAGCCCGAUC